GCCAGCAGCCGCGGUAAUUCCAGCUCCAAUAGCGUAUAUUAAAGUUGUUGUGGUUAAAAAGCUCGUAGUUGAACCUUGGGCCUGGCUGGCCGGUCCGCCUCACCGCGUGCACUGGUCCGGUCGGGCCUUUCCCUCUGCGGAACCCCAUGCCCUUCACUGGGCGUGGCGGGGAAGCAGGACGUUUACUUUGAAAAAAUUAGAGUGCUCCAGGCAGGCCUAUGCUCGAAUAUAUUAGCAUGGAAUAAUGAAAUAGGACGUGCGGUCCCAUUUUGUUGGUUUCUAGGACCGCCGUAAUGAUUAAUAGGGACAGUCGGGGGCAUCAGUAUUCAAUUGUCAGAGGUGAAAUUCUUGGAUUUAUUGAAGACUAACUACUGCGAAAGCAUUUGCCAAGGAUGUUUUCAUUAAUCAGGAACGAAAGUUAGGGGAUCGAAGACGAUCAGAUACCGUCGUAGUCUUAACCAUAAACUAUGCCGACUAGGGAUCGGGCGAUGUUAUCAUUUGACUCGCUCGGCACCUUACGAGAAAUCAAAGUGCUUGGGCUCCAGGGGGAG
This 551-nucleotide ribosomal RNA is filed under the name Torrubiellomyces zombiae. Its description in RNAcentral is "SSU rRNA". It matches the Rfam family "Eukaryotic small subunit ribosomal RNA", at positions 566 to 1123 of the family's 1831-position model. Lineage: Eukaryota; Fungi; Ascomycota; Sordariomycetes; Hypocreales; Ophiocordycipitaceae. The record is from RNAcentral.